Gallus gallus (chicken) is the source of this 2627-nucleotide long non-coding RNA. The record is from Ensembl. NCBI's taxonomy places the organism in Eukaryota, Metazoa, Chordata, Aves, Galliformes, Phasianidae.
CCCGGUUUUAUUUCUCUCAACUGUAAUCAACACAGGUUGCACAACGGAUUAUCUUCCACCAUCCUGUAAUUCAGCUGAAGUUGCUGGAAUAACACCAGAGGUGAAUCCAAUCCAUCACUUUGUGCUUGCAUAUAUAUUAUUUGUGAGUUCUGUGUGUAUGUAAGCCUGGGAAGGAUUGACUUGAUAUGUAGAGGAUCAAAUGUAUGUGCCUACACUUCACUGAUAAGACAGAAUUGUGAGAAUCCUCCCAUUUUCAUAUGUUUGAAUGAAGAAUUGGCUGGAGUGGCAUUUUUCAUUUGUGUCAUAUGAAUGUCUGGUGAUACUUUGCAGUUAGCAAUAAUUACAUUACAUCUGCUGUGUACAUAACAGGAAACUAAUUCUUCUUAUGAAGCUACAGUACGUGGAUAUAGAUUUUGAGUUUUGUACUGUUACAUUUACUAACCACAUAAUUGCAUAUUUAGUUCUAUUACACUAGAUCCUGAAGUGCUACGGUGAAGGGUAUAAUUACAUCAUUUACUCUUGAAGAAACCCUCAAGAUAUACUAUAAAUAAUAGGAUUGCAGAUUCAUAGAAAUUAGAGAUGAGAAAAGAGCCUAUUAGGUCAUCUGCAACCCAGUGAGGAAAAAUUACAGCAGUUAGCUGGAGUGCAUCUUAUCAUAGGCAUUGAUUGCCUUUCCUGUAUCCUUGUGCUAGAAUUCCCCCAGAUCCUCAUGGAAGAGCUGUGUGCUGCUAUAGGAGCAGGACUGGGAAGUGACGUCUCUUCAUGGGCUGGAAGCUAUGCAAGAGAGGCGGCCAGAACACAGUUGUUUCCCCCAGUGAUGGAAAUCCUGUCCAGAAAUCCAUCCAAAGGCAUCUUCUCUUCACCACAGACCUGUAACCUGGAGGCCACAUUGGUCACUGGCAGAUGUGGGGAUGAAGGCUGUUUUAGGAGUUUCAGAAAUGUGAAUGAAAAGAGUUAUCUUCCCUAGCUGUGCGAGAGCAGUUCCUGUCAAGUUCAGAAGUCCCACGCCGCAGACCCUUCGCUGGCUGUUGUGCUUGGAACACGGCUGGGCCCGGCCUCCCGCACGCAAGGAACAGCAGCCUGUCAUCAUCAGGCUCAGCGUGGCGGCGCCGGCCAGAUGCGAGCAUAGAACCCACGGAGGUAUUAACUCAAAGCGAGGCAACCCUGCCAAUGCCAGUCUCCCAGAUCUCAUUCACAACCCAUGCCAGCUCCAGCCAGUCAGCCAGCCAGGCGGCGGCAGCGAAGGGCGUGCGGGAAGGCAGCGGCGUGACAGCAAGUUUCCCAUGAUUUAUUUCUGCUCUGCUGAGCGGGCUCCCAGCUGAACUGGAGCACGGGAAACUUGCAUCUGUUCUGCGGGCAGGCACGCAGCACUGCAGCACGGCGGCAAUUAUGGGAGGCUGCAUGACCAAAGGGGAGCUGGGCUGGUCAGCUCCAUUCAUCCACAGCCAUAGAUGAAUUCAUUUGGCUGUUGUUUGCAAGCCUGCUGCAAACUUGUUGAUCCCGGCCUGUCUAAGGGAACAGUGGUCAGUCCUUGGAGGAUGCUGUCCAGAGUGCUGUGGACCUUUGCUUUUGGAGAUGGUCUCAUCUAUCUGCUAUGGUGAUGGGAGCCUUUUGAGGUGCUCUGGGUCCGGCUGUAUGAAUGGGAUGGAUGCUUAUUGCCAUUAUACAUCAAAAACGCAUGUGAUCUUCACCUGGAAAGGGUUUCUUAGGAGAAGAGGCUGAGACGGACCUACUGUUUCUACUUCGGGAUGAAAUAAAUAAAAAGAGGGAAACUGGGAAGACAGUGAAAACUACAAAAAAGAUGAGGAAAGAUGACCUCAUUUGACUGCUUUUCCAAAUUCAUGAGCAAGCUACUCAAUAAGGAAGCACAGAGGGAAAAACAAAGGAAGAUCUGAAACUGAUAAGGAAAUAUUUUUAGACAACACUUAAUUAACCCUGGGAACUCAGUGCCAUAAAACACCACUGAGCCCAAGAGAUGAGCAGGAUUCAAAACAGGCCAGGCAUUUGUAUGGGUAACGAGAACUACAUUAGACUAGAUUAACAAAAUAUGAGGGAUACAAACUCUCAUGCGCUAUGGCACUAGGAAGCAGCUCACUGACGAAAAUUAGGAAAAUACCUUCCCCUAUGGGCAGAUCAUUCCAUAAUCAUUCAUUAUGGGGUUUCAUGUGCUUCCCUCUGCGGCAGCUGGGCUUGGCUGCUGAUGGAGCCGGGUGCGGAGCGUGGCAGAACAAUGGCCUGAUUCGGCACCGGCAUCCCUUUGUUCCCACACGGUAUUGUUCUGCGAGGGACACUUUCCACAAAUAAGAAGAGGGAAAUCAAAGGGAUGACAAGGAAGCCGUGCAAAUGCCUCUGACAUAAAUCUUUACCUUGCACGCACAUGCCCUCAUCCCAGUGAAUUAACAGGAACAAAAGGAAAAAAGGUGGCUGGUAGGAUUGUUCACACAAUAUGAAUUAAGAAGGGCCUGGGAACACCUUCAGCAUGAGUUAGCUGGGUUUGCUUUGAGGAAAGGUUUGGGAGCUGAUUCUAGCAGCAUGUGCAGAACUUCCCCAUGCCUUCUCGUUGAGGAGAGAAAUCUCAAGGGAUUUGGGAUAGUGUGCUUGGAAUCUGGAGAGCCGGGAUGUACGGG